RNAcentral lists this long non-coding RNA (458 nucleotides) under Elaeis guineensis (African oil palm). RNAcentral describes it as "long non-coding RNA (EGUI_LNC013990)". Lineage: Eukaryota; Viridiplantae; Streptophyta; Magnoliopsida; Arecales; Arecaceae. The record is from RNAcentral.
AAGAUCGCUAACUCAGAUGAUGAUGUCAAUACCGCAACAAAACAAAAGAAGAGAAAUAAAAAAAAAAUAUAAUCAAAUACGUGGAUCAGUCCAAGACUUAGUCCAUGAGACAUACAAGCUUCACUAUGAGAGAAAAUAAAUACAAGAAAAGAUCACACACUCUCAACUCCCAUAAACCUCUCUCAACAAGAAAUACUUAACCCUUACAAAGCUCUCAUAAAAAUCCCAAAGGAGAUCCUCUACUGCUCCACAGACUCUAUGGCUGCUAUCUCUACCUCCAGGGGCCAUUCUCUGUCACUCUCUAUUGCCUACAGGCCAUCAGGCCCUUUUAAAGACCCUAAAUCGAGUCCUGUUAGAUUUUAGAACUCGUCUCAGCCUCCUGAUCAACCUUGUAAGCUUCUGUGGCCAUCCGAUUGCACUUGCAAGCAACUAUGGCCGCUUAAUCAUACAAAAUCACC